This 264-nucleotide long non-coding RNA is filed under the name Manihot esculenta (cassava). Its description in RNAcentral is "long non-coding RNA (MESC_LNC003445)". Lineage: Eukaryota; Viridiplantae; Streptophyta; Magnoliopsida; Malpighiales; Euphorbiaceae. The record is from RNAcentral.
CACUUCCCUCACUUAGACUUUCGGGGGCCUAACGUGCCUCCCAAAGUCCAUGCAUGUUCGGCGGCCGAAAGUGAGUUUCGGCGGCCGAACCUGGGUUUUUCCUUAAAGAAUUUUCAUGCAAAAAUUUAUUUAAAAUCAUACUUAAAACAUUAAAAUACAUGAAAACAUUUUAUAAAAACAUGUUUUUACCCUUCUAGAGGUUUCCGACACCCAAAUUCCACCGGACGGUAGGAAUUCCGAUACCGGAGUCUAGCCGGGUAUUAC